RNAcentral lists this unclassified non-coding RNA (20 nucleotides) under Staphylococcus aureus subsp. aureus ED98. Its description in RNAcentral is "DNA/RNA (5'-R(P*AP*GP*CP*CP*G)-D(P*T)-R(P*AP*GP*GP*GP*CP*CP*C)-D(P*T)-R(P*AP*CP*... from Staphylococcus aureus subsp. aureus ED98 (PDB 5BS3, chain F)". Lineage: Bacteria; Bacillati; Bacillota; Bacilli; Caryophanales; Staphylococcaceae. The record is from RNAcentral.
AGCCGUAGGGCCCUACGGCU